UAACACAAAAUUCAAAUUACAACACAAGUAGUACGAAGUGCAAUUGCUUAAAAUGUAUACUAGCACGUUUGCUGUGUAUGUAUACACGUCCAUUUUCACAUUUGCCAGCAGCAUUAUUCAUCUACUGAAUCAAUAGCAAUGGAAAAGGUAUUGUUGCAGCACAUAUGGAGGUUCAUCUCCCCUACAAGUUUAAUUGUUCGUCUCAUCGGAGGAAAAGGUAUUGUUGCAGCACAUAUGGAGGUUCAUCUCCCCUACAAGUUUAAUUGUUCGUCUCAUCGGAGGGGAGUGGCCUACAAAAGAAAGAAAAAAAUACAUGUUGCAUUCAACGGCAUGGAAAUGAAUGUAGAUUCAAUGCUCUGUUUAUACAGAUUAGCUGUGAUUUCUCUAAGUUAAAAGUUGUUUCGAUCGAAUUUAUAAAAUUCUACUGUAAACAUUUCUAAUGAAUCCCACAGCCACCUAUUUACCAAACUGACAAAUUUAACUAAGCAAAAACAGAAAGCCUCAAGUUUUAGAAUGACAAAGCAUAUUUAUCAUGUUUCUUCAUGAGUAGACUAAGGUCAUUUGAGAAGCUUACUACAGUAUCAACGUUGCAAUAAUUUCAUCAAAAUCGAUUUCAAACAAGAUAGAUGAUACACAUAACAAGAUUAAAUGACAUGCUGCAAAAAAAGAAAACUUCAUUAGUGAGCACCAACCUAUAAAUUUGAGAAAGAAC
Molecule: long non-coding RNA, 712 nt
Filed under: Solanum lycopersicum (tomato)
Lineage: Eukaryota; Viridiplantae; Streptophyta; Magnoliopsida; Solanales; Solanaceae
Description: long non-coding RNA (SLYC_LNC000348)
Source: RNAcentral